This 1096-nucleotide ribosomal RNA is filed under the name Vibrionaceae bacterium PaD1.38a. Its description in RNAcentral is "bacterial SSU rRNA". It matches the Rfam family "Bacterial small subunit ribosomal RNA", at positions 363 to 1451 of the family's 1533-position model. The record is from RNAcentral. Lineage: Bacteria; Pseudomonadati; Pseudomonadota; Gammaproteobacteria; Vibrionales; Vibrionaceae.
AUUGCACAAUGGGCGCAAGCCUGAUGCAGCCAUGCCGCGUGUAUGAAGAAGGCCUUCGGGUUGUAAAGUACUUUCAGCAGUGAGGAAGACGGGUACGUUAAUAGCGUGCUCGUUUGACGUUAGCUGCAGAAGAAGCACCGGCUAACUCCGUGCCAGCAGCCGCGGUAAUACGGAGGGUGCGAGCGUUAAUCGGAAUUACUGGGCGUAAAGCGCAUGCAGGUGGUUUGUUAAGUCAGAUGUGAAAGCCCGGGGCUCAACCUCGGAAUAGCAUUUGAAACUGGCAGACUAGAGUACUGUAGAGGGGGGUAGAAUUUCAGGUGUAGCGGUGAAAUGCGUAGAGAUCUGAAGGAAUACCGGUGGCGAAGGCGGCCCCCUGGACAGAUACUGACACUCAGAUGCGAAAGCGUGGGGAGCAAACAGGAUUAGAUACCCUGGUAGUCCACGCCGUAAACGAUGUCUACUUGGAGGUUGUGGCCUUGAGCCGUGGCUUUCGGAGCUAACGCGUUAAGUAGACCGCCUGGGGAGUACGGUCGCAAGAUUAAAACUCAAAUGAAUUGACGGGGGCCCGCACAAGCGGUGGAGCAUGUGGUUUAAUUCGAUGCAACGCGAAGAACCUUACCUACUCUUGACAUCCAUAGAACUUUCCAGAGAUGGAUUGGUGCCUUCGGGAACUAUGAGACAGGUGCUGCAUGGCUGUCGUCAGCUCGUGUUGUGAAAUGUUGGGUUAAGUCCCGCAACGAGCGCAACCCUUAUCCUUGUUUGCCAGCGAGUAAUGUCGGGAACUCCAGGGAGACUGCCGGUGAUAAACCGGAGGAAGGUGGGGACGACGUCAAGUCAUCAUGGCCCUUACGAGUAGGGCUACACACGUGCUACAAUGGCGCAUACAGAGGGCGGCCAACUUGCGAAAGUGAGCGAAUCCCAAAAAGUGCGUCGUAGUCCGGAUUGGAGUCUGCAACUCGACUCCAUGAAGUCGGAAUCGCUAGUAAUCGUAGAUCAGAAUGCUACGGUGAAUACGUUCCCGGGCCUUGUACACACCGCCCGUCACACCAUGGGAGUGGGCUGCAAAAGAAGUGGGUAGUUUAACCUUCGGGGGGAC